AACGAACGCUGGCGGCAUGCCUAACACAUGCAAGUCGAACGAUAGCACCGGGGGUACUUGCGCUCGGGUGCGUCGCGCGUGGGAACGGGCCCUUAGGCACGGAAUACCACAGUGACGUUUGAGCUAAUGCCGGAUAACGUCUUCUAACACAAGAUAGAUCGUCCUUGGAUGGGCAGGGGUUGGUUUAACUUGGUGGUGGGGUAAGGGCCUACCACGGCGUGGAUCCAUAGCUGGUCUGAGAGGAUGAGCAGCCACACUUGGGCUGGGACACGGUCCAGACUCUUACGGGAGGCAGGAGUGGGGGAUAUUGGAAAAUGGGCGAAAUCCUGAUCCAGCAAUGCCGGGUGAGUGAUGAAGGCCGUAGGGUAGUAAAGCUCUUUUACCCGGCAUGAUAAUGACAGUACCGGGAGAAUAAGCCCCGGCUAACUCCGUG
Molecule: ribosomal RNA, 433 nt
Filed under: uncultured bacterium
Lineage: Bacteria
Description: partial 16S ribosomal RNA
Rfam family: Bacterial small subunit ribosomal RNA
Source: RNAcentral